AUUGAACGCUGGCGGCAUGCCUUACACAUGCAAGUCGAACGGUAACAGGUCUUCGGAUGCUGACGAGUGGCGAACGGGUGAGUAAUACAUCGGAACGUGCCUAGUAGUGGGGGAUAACUACUCGAAAGAGUGGCUAAUACCGCAUGAGAUCUACGGAUGAAAGCAGGGGAUCGCAAGACCUUGUGCUACUAGAGCGGCCGAUGGCAGAUUAGGUAGUUGGUGGGAUAAAAGCUUACCAAGCCGACGAUCUGUAGCUGGUCUGAGAGGACGAUCAGACAACCUGGACCUGGGCCACGGCCCAGACUCCUACGGGAGCAAGAGGUGGGAAUUUUGGACAGUGGGCGAAAGCCUGAUCCAGCAAUGCCGCGUGCAGGAUGAAGGCCUUCGGGUUGUAAACUGCUUUUGUACGGAACGAAAAGCCCCGGGUUAAUACCCUGGGGUCAUAACGGUACCGUAAGAAUAAGCACCGGCUAACUACGUGCCAGCCGCCGCCGUAA
This 497-nucleotide ribosomal RNA is filed under the name uncultured bacterium. RNAcentral describes it as "partial 16S ribosomal RNA". It matches the Rfam family "Bacterial small subunit ribosomal RNA", at positions 30 to 523 of the family's 1533-position model. The record is from RNAcentral.